UACGGAAGGGGCAAGCGUUGUUCGGAAUCAUUGGGCGUAAAGGGCGCGUAGGCGGUCUUGUAUGUUCGCUGUAAAAGCGCACGGCUCAACUGUGCGAGGUCGGUGGAAACUGCAAGACUUGAGGCUGGGAGAGGCUGGUGGAAUUCCCUGUGUAGCGGUGAAAUGCGUAGAUAUAGGGGAGAACACUUGUGGCGAAGGCGGCCAGCUGGACCAGCCCUGACGCUGAGGCGCGACAGCGUGGGGAGCAAACAGG
Molecule: ribosomal RNA, 253 nt
Filed under: uncultured bacterium
Lineage: Bacteria
Description: partial 16S ribosomal RNA
Rfam family: Bacterial small subunit ribosomal RNA
Source: RNAcentral